UGGCCUUCCUGAAGAUUAUUCACACUGCAUUACACUUGUUCAACCCAAACCUGAACUCUUUACCAUUGGAGAGGUUGAAACUCUUCUUAUUUCUCAUGAAGAAACGCUUGAAAAGUUCAAACAACUUUCCAUUGGAUUAGCACAAGCUCAGUUAGCUCAAUCAAAAUUUUCCAAUCCAAGAUUUACUGGAAGAACCUCUGGAGGACGAAGAGGUGCUCGUGGUAGAAGAUUUGCACAGGUGGAAGAAAUUCAUGGCAAUCAACAAAUCGUCUUUAUUUCCAAGUUUGUAAUCGUCCAGGCCAUUCCGCUUUACACUGCUUCUAUCGAUUUGAUCAAGCAUACAAUGGAUACUCUUCAAAUUCAGCCAAUGCUGGUUCAUCUAAUCCACCACCUCCUCCUUCCUCCUUCUUUCACCAGCCAUAGUCUUACCUCACUUCCACCUCUUCUGCUGCUGACACUGUAUUGUACCCUGACACCGGUGCAAGCCAUCACCUCGCACAUGAUUCUGCCAACCUUAUAUCUUCAUCUGAAUAUACUGGACCUGAUAAACUAUAUAUAGCAAAUGGAUCUGGUCCACAAGUAAACACUUCUUCAAGGAAUUCUUAGACAUGGACUAUAUUCCUUUGAUAAUUUGUGUGUGCCAACACCAUUAUAUGAUCAUAAUUCUGUUCAUACUUUUUUAGCUUCUUGUAAUCUCAAUCUUACUUUGUGGCAUAGAAGGCUGGGACAUCCUUCUAAAUCUAUUGUAAAAAGUGUCUUUAAACAAUGUAAUAUUCCUAUUAAUCAAAAUUCAGCUACUGAUUCCUUUGUUUGUGAUCAUUGUUGUAUGGAAAAAAUGCAUGCUCUCCCCUUUUCCCUU
Non-coding RNA from Arachis ipaensis, 859 nucleotides. NCBI's taxonomy places the organism in Eukaryota, Viridiplantae, Streptophyta, Magnoliopsida, Fabales, Fabaceae. The record is from RefSeq and is a predicted model, not a curated record.